UACGAAGGGGGCUAGCGUUGUUCGGAAUUACUGGGCGUAAAGCGCGCGCAGGCGGCUAUCCAAGUCAGUGGUGAAAGCCCGGAGCUCAACUCCGGAACUGCCAUUGAAACUGUUUAGCUUGAGUAUGAGAGAGGUGAGUGGAAUUCCCAGUGUAGAGGUGAAAUUCGUAGAUAUUGGGAAGAACACCGGUGGCGAAGGCGGCUCACUGGCGCAUUACUGACGCUCAGGCGCGACAGCGUGGGGAUCAAACAGG
RNAcentral lists this ribosomal RNA (253 nucleotides) under uncultured bacterium. RNAcentral's name for it is "partial 16S ribosomal RNA". It matches the Rfam family "Bacterial small subunit ribosomal RNA", at positions 524 to 776 of the family's 1533-position model. The record is from RNAcentral.